This 271-nucleotide ribosomal RNA is filed under the name uncultured archaeon. RNAcentral's name for it is "partial 16S ribosomal RNA". It matches the Rfam family "Archaeal small subunit ribosomal RNA", at positions 477 to 747 of the family's 1478-position model. The record is from RNAcentral.
CAGCGUCACGAGUGGCAACCGUAUUUAUUGGGCCUAAAGCGUCCGUAGCCGGUUUGAUAAGUCUUUUGUGAAAUCGUUGAGCUUAACUCAACGGUGUGCAAGAGAUACUGUCAGACUUGGAAUUGGGAAGAGUUAGAGGUAUUCUGGGGGGAGCGGUAAAAUGCUAUAAUCCCUGGAGGACCACCAGUGGCGAAAGCGUCUAACUAGAACAAAUUCGACGGUGAGGGACGAAAGCCAGGGGAGCAAAACGGAUUAGAUACCCGAGUAGUCC